AACGAACGCUGGCGGCAGGCUUAACACAUGCAAGUUGAACGCGUGUAGCAAUACACGAGUAGCGCACGGGUGCGUAACGCGUGGGAACCUUCCUCGUAGUUCGGAAUAACUCAGGGAAACUUGAGCUAAUACCGAAUGCCUCCUCCGGGAGAAAGAUUUAUCGCUACGAGAUGGGCCCGCGCCAGAUUAGGUAGUUGGUAGGGUAACGGCCUACCAAGCCGACGAUCUGUAGCUGGACUGAGAGGAUGAUCAGCCACACUGGGACGGAGACACGGCCCAGACUCCUACGGGAGGCAGCAGUGGGGAAUAUUGGACAAUGGGGGCAACCCUGAUCCAGCCAUGCCGCGUGAGGGAAGAAGGCCUUCGGGUUGUAAAGCUCUUUCGACGGGGACGAUGAUGACGGUACCCGUAUAAGAAGCCCCGGCUAACUUCGUGCCAGCCGCCGCCGUAA
This 451-nucleotide ribosomal RNA is filed under the name uncultured bacterium. Its description in RNAcentral is "partial 16S ribosomal RNA". It matches the Rfam family "Bacterial small subunit ribosomal RNA", at positions 29 to 523 of the family's 1533-position model. The record is from RNAcentral.